RNAcentral lists this ribosomal RNA (562 nucleotides) under Aquila heliaca. Its description in RNAcentral is "partial 16S ribosomal RNA". Lineage: Eukaryota; Metazoa; Chordata; Aves; Accipitriformes; Accipitridae. The record is from RNAcentral.
GUUGCCUGUGAAACGAAUCUAAGUUCCUCCUUAGUUCCUCUCCAUGGACCCUUAGCCAAACCCCCACGUAGUGAACUAAGAGCAACUUAAAGGAGGUACAGCUCCUUUAAGAAAGAACACAGUCUCUCAUAGCGGAUAAACAUAACCCACUCCCUCCCCUGUUCCCCGUAGGCCUUCAAGCAGCCAUCGAUAAAGAAUGCGUCAAAGCUCUUUCCCCUAAAAAUGUAAAAAUAACACGACUCCCUCCUCACUAACAGGCUAACCUAUCACAAUAGGAGAAUUAAUGCUAGAAUGAGUAACUAGGGCUACCCCUCUUAAGCGCAAGCUUACAUCCCCCUAUUAUUAACAGCAUCCAAAUAAUAUUCUAACCUCAACAAGUCAGUACAUUUAAAACUACUCUGUUAACCCAACCCAGGAGCGCCCACUAGAAAGACUAAAAUCUGCAAAAGGAACUAGGCAACCCCAAGACCCGACUGUUUACCAAAAACAUAGCCCUCAGCAAGCCAAGUAUUGAAGGUGAUGCCUGCCCAGUGACCCUCAGUUCAACGGCCGCGGUAUCCUA